Molecule: long non-coding RNA, 389 nt
Organism: Priapulus caudatus
Lineage: Eukaryota; Metazoa; Priapulida; Priapulimorpha; Priapulimorphida; Priapulidae
Exons: 2
Source: RefSeq, a predicted model, not a curated record
CUAACCUAUAUAUGCAAAAGCUCUAUUGCUGUCUACGUCUUUUCUAUAGAAAACGAAACACUUGGGAAUGAUAUAAUGUAAAAGACGAGACGUUAUUAUUGCGAUUUUACGGCAAAAUGCAAAGUGAACAUAUAUAAAUGUGUGUAUAUAUAUAUAAAGUGAUAUUAUGUCUAGUCAUAUACUAUAUUAAGUGAUGUGAUGAUCUAAUUAUUAGACGUCUUAAUACUAAGGCCAUGAAUAUUGCACACAAACUUACAAAAUCAUACUAUACAAUACUUUAAUAUAUCCAACACGUAGCUUACGCUUGUAUAAAAUUGCUAAUUAUCACAGCAGUCGUAAACAAAACAAACCCCCACCUUCUUGUAUAAACGGUAAAAAUAAAAACUUAU